UUUAAAGUCUAACCUGCCCUAUGAGAAAUUAAAUGGCCGCGGUAUUUUGACCGUGCAAAGGUAGCAUAAUAAUUAGUUUUUUAAUUGAAAGCUGGAAUGAAUGGUUGGACGAGAAAAUUUCUGUCUCAGUUUAAUUUUAAAUGAAUUUUAUUUUUAAGUAAAAAAGCUUAGAUUUUUUUAAAAGACGAGAAGACCCUAUAGAGUUUUAUAAUUUUAUUAUUAAAAAUUUUUUAGUAUUUUUAUAUUUUUAUUUGUAAAAUUAUUUUGUUGGGGUGAUGGAAAAAUUUAAUAAACUUUUUUUAUAUUUUAUCAUUGAUUUAUGUUUUUUUGAUCCAAUUUUUUUGAUUAUAAGAUUUAAUUACCUUAGGGAUAACAGCGUAAUUUUUUUUUAGAGUUCUUAUCGAAAGAAAAGUUUGCGACCUCGAUGUUGGAUUAAAAUUAAUGUUUGGUGUAGGGGCUAAAUGGUUAGGUCUGUUCGACCUUUAAAAUUUUACA
This 495-nucleotide ribosomal RNA is filed under the name Ablabera sp. DA4102. RNAcentral describes it as "partial 16S large subunit ribosomal RNA". The stretch from base 369 to 495 matches the Rfam family "Bacterial large subunit ribosomal RNA", at positions 2473 to 2600 of the family's 2925-position model. Lineage: Eukaryota; Metazoa; Arthropoda; Insecta; Coleoptera; Scarabaeidae. The record is from RNAcentral.